Molecule: ribosomal RNA, 406 nt
Filed under: uncultured bacterium
Lineage: Bacteria
Description: partial 16S ribosomal RNA
Rfam family: Bacterial small subunit ribosomal RNA
Source: RNAcentral
AUUGAACGCUGGCGGCAGGCCUAACACAUGCAAGUCGAACGAGUGGCGGACGGGUGAGUAAUGUAUGGGAAACUGCCUGAUGGAGGGGGAUAACUACUGGAAACGGUAGCUAAUACCGCCUACACUCAGAGGUGCCCAGAUGGGUUGAGCUAGUAGGUGGGGUAAUGGCUCACCUAGGUGACGAUCCAUAGCUGGUCUGAGAGGAUGACCAGCCACACUGGAACUGAGACACGGCCCAGACUCCUACGGUAGGCAGCAGUGGGGAAUAUGGCACAAUGGGGGAAAGCCUGAUGCAGCCAGGCCGCGUGUGUGAAGAAGGCCUUCGGGUUGUAAAGCACUUUCGGCAAGGAGGCGGUACUCGCAGAAGAAGCACCGGCUAACUCCGUGCCAGCAGCCGCGGUAAUUC